GACGAACGCUGGCGGCGUGCCUAAUACAUGCAAGUAGAACGCACAGUUUAUACCGUAGCUUGCUACACCAUAGACUGUGAGUUGCGAACGGGUGAGUAACGCGUAGGUAACCUGCCUGGUAGCGGGGGAUAACUAUUGGAAACGAUAGCUAAUACCGCAUAAUAUUGAUUAUUGCAUGAUAAUUAAUUGAAAGGUGCAAUUGCACCACUACCAGAUGGACCUGCGUUGUAUUAGCUAGUAGGUGAGGUAACGGCUCACCUAGGCGACGAUACAUAGCCGACAGGAGAGGGCGAUCGGCCACACUGGGAGUGAGACACGGCCCAGACUCCUACGGGAGGCAGCAGUAGGGAAUCUUGGGCAAUGGACGAAAGUCUGACCGAGCAACGCCGCGUGAGUGAAGAAGGUUUUCGGAUCGUAAAGCUCUGUUGUAAGAGAAGAACGGGUGUGAGAGUGGAAAGUUCACACUGUGACGGUAUCUUACCAGAAAGGGACGGCUAACUACGUG
Molecule: ribosomal RNA, 505 nt
Filed under: uncultured bacterium
Lineage: Bacteria
Description: partial 16S ribosomal RNA
Rfam family: Bacterial small subunit ribosomal RNA
Source: RNAcentral